This 189-nucleotide ribosomal RNA is filed under the name uncultured bacterium. RNAcentral's name for it is "partial 16S ribosomal RNA". It matches the Rfam family "Bacterial small subunit ribosomal RNA", at positions 338 to 524 of the family's 1533-position model. The record is from RNAcentral. RNAcentral also lists the same sequence under 1 other name.
CCUACGGGAGGCAGCAGUGAGGAAUAUUGGACAAUGGAGGCAACUCUGAUCCAGCCAUGCCGCGUGCAGGAAGACUGCCCUAUGGGUUGUAAACUGCUUUUAUACAGGAAGAAACCUACUUACGUGUAAGUAGCUGACGGUACUGUAAGAAUAAGGAUCGGCUAACUCCGUGCCAGCAGCCGCGGUAAU